GAGUUUGAUCCUGGCUCAGAAUCAACGCUGGCGGCGCGCUUAACACAUGCAAGUCGCACGAGAAAGGGAGCAAUCCUGAGUAAAGUGGCGUACGGGUGAGUAACACGUGGAUCAUCUACCUUUUAGUGGGGAAUACCUCCGGGAAACUGGAGACAAUACCGCAUAAGCUCGUAAGAGGAAAGCAGCAAUGCGCUGAAAGAGGAGUCCGCGGCUGAUUAGCUAGAUGGCGGGGUAACGGCCCACCAUGGCGAAGAUCGGUAGCCGGCCUGAGAGGGCACACGGCCACACUGGCACUGAAACACGGGCCAGACUCCUACGGGAGGCAGCAGUGGGGAAUCUUGCACAAUGGGGGAAACCCUGAUGCAGCGACGCCGCGUGAGCGAUGAAGCCCUUCGGGGUGUAAAGCUCUUUCGACGGGAACGAUAAUGACGGUACCCGAAGAAGAAGCUGCGGCUAACUACGUGCCAGCAGCCGCGGUAAUACGUAGGCAGCAAGCGUUGUUCGGAAUUACUGGGCGUAAAGAGUGUGUAGGCGGUGUUCUAAGUCUGUUGUGAAAUCUCCCGGCUCAACUGGGAGGGUGCGGCGGAGACUGGAAUGCUAGAGUAUGGGAGAGGUAAGCGGAAUUCCUGGUGUAGCGGUGAAAUGCGUAGAUAUCAGGAGGAACACCUGUGGUGUAGACAGCUUACUGGACCAUGACUGACGCUGAGACACGAAAGCGUGGGUAGCAAACAGGAUUAGAUACCCUGGUAGUCCACGCCCUAAACGAUGCAUACUUGGUGUGAGCCAUUCAUUUGGUUCGUGCCGGAGCUAACGCGUUAAGUAUGCCGCCUGGGGAGUACGGUCGCAAGGCUGAAACUCAAAGGAAUUGACGGGGGCUCACACAAGCGGUGGAGCAUGUGGCUUAAUUCGAGGCUACGCGAAGAACCUUAUCCUGGACUUGACAUGUUCGAAAGAGGCAGCAAGUAGGGAGCGGAAACGCCACCCGAACGGUAUCCAAUCCGGAAGCUGCCACAGGUGCUGCAUGGCUGUCGUCAGCUCGUGUCGUGAGAUGUCAGGUUAAGUCCCAUAACGAGCGAAACCCCUGUUUCCAGUUGCCAGCGAGUAAAGUCGGGGACUCUGGAAAGACUGCCGGUGUUAAACCGGAGGAAGGUGGGGAUGACGUCAAGUCCUCAUGGCCUUUAUGUCCAGGGCUGCACACGUGCUACAAUGCCGUGAACAAAGGGACGCAAACCCGCGAGGGGGAGCAAAUCCCAAAAAACACGGCCCAGUUCAGAUCGAAGGCUGCAACUCGCCUUCGUGAAGUUGGAAUCGCUAGUAAUCGCGGGUCAGCAACACCGCGGUGAAUGUGUUCCUGAGCCUUGCACACAC
This 1368-nucleotide ribosomal RNA is filed under the name uncultured bacterium. RNAcentral's name for it is "bacterial SSU rRNA". It matches the Rfam family "Bacterial small subunit ribosomal RNA". The record is from RNAcentral.